This is a long non-coding RNA of Lucilia sericata (common green bottle fly), 284 nucleotides long. RefSeq lists it as uncharacterized. Lineage: Eukaryota; Metazoa; Arthropoda; Insecta; Diptera; Calliphoridae. The transcript has 2 exons. The record is from RefSeq and is a predicted model, not a curated record.
UAUUGCGAAUUUUCACUUCGUUUUGUUUCGUUGUUCAAGAAAGGUGGUUAACAAGGAAAAAACGCGCAAAUGUUUUUACAAUUUUUUCGAAGAAAAUAUAUGUAAAAAUUGUAAAACCAAUUUAUAAAUAAAAGUAAACGAUUAACAAUUAAUAAACGCUAUCUAAAAGUAAUAAUAAAAUUAACUAACGAGCGUAUAAAUAUAAAAAACCAGAGUGUGAGUGUUUUAAGUGGAAUGUGUGUGGAUGAUAUUUAACGAAAUUGUAAAACAAAGUACUAGAAAUC